RNAcentral lists this ribosomal RNA (502 nucleotides) under uncultured bacterium. Its description in RNAcentral is "bacterial SSU rRNA". It matches the Rfam family "Bacterial small subunit ribosomal RNA", at positions 28 to 521 of the family's 1533-position model. The record is from RNAcentral.
GACGAACGCUGGCGGCGUGGAUUAGGCAUGCAAGUCGAACGGUAUCAUCCUUUCGGGGGUGAGAGAGUGGCGAAUUGGUGAGUAACACGUAGGUUAUCUACCCUCAAGACGGGGACAACCCAGGGAAACUUGGGCUAAUACCGGAUGUGAGCAACUUUUAGUUGUUUGAAAGGUGGCGUAAGCUGUCGCUUGGGGAUGAGCCUGCGUCCCUAUUAGUUAGUUGGUGAGGUAACGGCUCACCUAGGCAAUGAUAGGUAGGCGGCCUUAACGGGUGGUCGCCCACACUGGGAUUGAGAUACGGCCCAGACUCCUACGGGAGGCAGCAGUCGAGAAUAGUCUACAAUGGUCGGAAGACUGAUAGUGCGACGCCGCGUGAACGAUGAAUCCCUUCGGGGUGUAAAGUUCUUUUAUAUGUGAGCAGUGCUUCUUAUAUUAACAGUAUGGGGAGAGAGAUAUUAGCAUAUGAAUAAGCAACGGCUAACUCCGUGCCAGCAGCCGCGGU